UGAGUUUGAUUAUGGCUCAGGAUGAACGCUAGCGACAGGCUUAACACAUGCAAGUCGAGGGGCAGCAUGGUCGUAGCAAUACGACUGAUGGCGACCGGCGCACGGGUGAGUAACGCGUAUGCAACCUGCCCUCCGCAGGGGGAUAACCGGGAGAAAUUCCGACUAAUACCGCAUAAGUGUUCUGGACGAAUGUCCGGGAUAUGAAAGAUUUAUCGGCAGAGGAUGGGCAUGCGUAAUAUUAGGUAGUUGGUGGGGUAACGGCCCACCAAGCCGACGAUAUUUAGGGGUUCUGAGAGGAAGGUCCCCCACAUUGGUACUGAGACACGGACCAA
RNAcentral lists this ribosomal RNA (332 nucleotides) under uncultured bacterium. Its description in RNAcentral is "bacterial SSU rRNA". It matches the Rfam family "Bacterial small subunit ribosomal RNA", at positions 1 to 334 of the family's 1533-position model. The record is from RNAcentral.